CCUACGGGUGGCUGCAGUGAGGAAUAUUGGUCAAUGGACGAGAGUCUGAACCAGCCAAGUAGCUUGAAGGAUGACUGCCCUAUGGGUUGUAAACUUCUUUUAUAUGGGAAUAAAAUGUUCCACGUGUGGGAUUUUGUAUGUACCAUAUGAAUAAGGAUCGGCUAACUCCGUGUCAGUAGCCGCGGUAAUACGGAGGAUCCGAGCGUUAUCCGGAUUUAUUGGGUUUAAAGGGAGCGUAGGUGGAUUGUUAAGUCAGUUGUGAAAGUUUGCGGCUCAACCGUAAAAUUGCAGUUGAAACUGGCAGUCUUGAGUACAGUAGAGGUGGGCGGAAUUCGUGGUGUAGCGGUGAAAUGCUUAGAUAUCACGAAGAACUCCGAUUGCGAAGGCAGUUCACUGGACUGCAACUGACACUGAGGCUCGAAAGUGUGGGUAUCAAACAGGAUUAGAUACCCUAGUAGUC
RNAcentral lists this ribosomal RNA (460 nucleotides) under uncultured bacterium. RNAcentral's name for it is "partial 16S ribosomal RNA". It matches the Rfam family "Bacterial small subunit ribosomal RNA", at positions 338 to 795 of the family's 1533-position model. The record is from RNAcentral.